UACGGGGGGGGCAAGCGUUGUUCGGAAUGACUGGGCGUAAAGGGCACGUAGGCGGUGAAUCGGGUUGAAAGUGAAAGUCGCCAAAAACUGGCGGAAUGCUCUCGAAACCCAUUAACUUGAGUGAGACAGAGGAGAGUGGAAUUUCGUGUGUAGGGGUGAAAUCCGGAGAUCUACGAAGGAACGCCAAAAGCGAAGGCAGCUCUCUGGGUCCCUACCGACGCUGGGGUGCGAAAGCGUGGGGAGCAAACAGG
Molecule: ribosomal RNA, 251 nt
Filed under: uncultured bacterium
Lineage: Bacteria
Description: partial 16S ribosomal RNA
Rfam family: Bacterial small subunit ribosomal RNA
Source: RNAcentral